This 471-nucleotide ribosomal RNA is filed under the name Pantoea sp. ERR 378. RNAcentral's name for it is "bacterial SSU rRNA". It matches the Rfam family "Bacterial small subunit ribosomal RNA", at positions 105 to 572 of the family's 1533-position model. The record is from RNAcentral. Lineage: Bacteria; Pseudomonadati; Pseudomonadota; Gammaproteobacteria; Enterobacterales; Erwiniaceae.
GGUGAGUAAUGUCUGGGAAACUGCCUGAUGGAGGGGGAUAACUACUGGAAACGGUAGCUAAUACCGCAUAAUGUCGCAAGACCAAAGAGGGGGACCUUCGGGCCUCUUGCCAUCAGAUGUGCCCAGAUGGGAUUAGCUAGUAGGUGGGGUAACGGCUCACCUAGGCGACGAUCCCUAGCUGGUCUGAGAGGAUGACCAGCCACACUGGAACUGAGACACGGUCCAGACUCCUACGGGAGGCAGCAGUGGGGAAUAUUGCACAAUGGGCGCAAGCCUGAUGCAGCCAUGCCGCGUGUAUGAAGAAGGCCUUCGGGUUGUAAAGUACUUUCAGCGGGGAGGAAGGUGGUGAGGUUAAUAACCUCAUCAAUUGACGUUACCCGCAGAAAAAACACCGGCUAACUCCGUGCCAACAGCCGCGGUAAUACAGAGGGUGCAAGCGUUUAUCGGAAUUACUGGGCAUAAAGCGCACGC